RNAcentral lists this ribosomal RNA (515 nucleotides) under uncultured bacterium. Its description in RNAcentral is "bacterial SSU rRNA". It matches the Rfam family "Bacterial small subunit ribosomal RNA", at positions 8 to 521 of the family's 1533-position model. The record is from RNAcentral.
AGAGUUUGAUCCUGGCUCAGGAUGAACGCUGGCGGCGUGCUUAACACAUGCAAGUCGAACGAAGCACUUUACCUGAUUUCCUUCGGGGAUGAUUGUUCUGUGACUGAGUGGCGGACGGGUGAGUAACGCGUGGAUAACCUGCCUCACACAGGGGGAUAACAGUUGGAAACGACUGCUAAUACCGCAUAAGCGCACAGCACCGCAUGGUGCAGUGUGAAAAACUCCGGUGGUGUGAGAUGGAUCCGCGUCUGAUUAGCUAGUUGGCGGGGUAACGGCCCACCAAGGCGACGAUCAGUAGCCGGCCUGAGAGGGCGACCGGCCACAUUGGGACUGAGACACGGCCCAGACUCCUACGGGAGGCAGCAGUGGGGAAUAUUGCACAAUGGGGGAAACCCUGAUGCAGCGACGCCGCGUGAGCGAUGAAGUAUUUCGGUAUGUAAAGUUCUAUCAGCAGGGAAGAUAAUGACGGUACCUGACUAAGAAGCUCCGGCUAAAUACGUGCCAGCAGCCGCGGU